UACGUAGGUGGCAAGCGUUGUCCGGAUUUACUGGGUGUAAAGAGCGCGCAGGCGGUCGUUCAAGUCGCGUGUGAAAGCCCCCGGCUCAACUGGGGAGGGUCACGCGAUACUGAUCGACUCGAAGGCAGGAGAGGGUAGUGGAAUUCCCGGUGUAGUGGUGAAAUGCGUAGAUAUCGGGAGGAACACCAGUGGCGAAGGCGACUACCUGGCCUGUUCUUGACGCUGAGGCGCGAAAGCUAGGGGAGCAAACGGG
Molecule: ribosomal RNA, 253 nt
Filed under: uncultured bacterium
Lineage: Bacteria
Description: partial 16S ribosomal RNA
Rfam family: Bacterial small subunit ribosomal RNA
Source: RNAcentral